GCUGUGAUGAUCUCGCAAACCACACACAGAAAAAUAUAAGCGCCAGUAAUACUGCCGCUGAUUAUCAACUAGCUGCCUAAGCUAGCUCUGAUAUCCGUUAACCCGAGUUUGCUCUCGCCUCGGGAUCUAACGUCGCUAGGGAGCUUGCUCAAUAUCGUGUUACGGAGAUAUUCGGGGACUUAAUCUGUAACUGAGUCUGUCAACAUCUUGUGCAUCGAAUUGUUGGGACUGAGAAAACGUAAGAUGUACUACGCCCGUAGAAGUCCUGGUUUGAUGCUAAAGGACCCGGGUUCAAUUCCCGGCACCUCCACUU
Molecule: transfer-messenger RNA, 313 nt
Filed under: Acidobacteriota bacterium
Lineage: Bacteria; Pseudomonadati; Acidobacteriota
Description: Acidobacteria bacterium (mine drainage metagenome) partial transfer-messenger RNA
Rfam family: transfer-messenger RNA
About the family: Bacterial tmRNA, also known as 10Sa RNA or SsrA, is named for its dual tRNA and mRNA-like properties. Its role is to liberate the mRNA from a stalled ribosome.
Source: RNAcentral